GUUAAAAUCCAAAGAAAAACUAUAUUUUGAAAAUAUAGAUAAAGGGGUUAAAUUCCCCUUUUUAACU
RNAcentral lists this transfer RNA (67 nucleotides) under Perisphaerus sp. 1 ZQW-2023b. RNAcentral describes it as "tRNA-Ser". Lineage: Eukaryota; Metazoa; Arthropoda; Insecta; Blattodea; Blaberidae. The record is from RNAcentral.